RNAcentral lists this ribosomal RNA (400 nucleotides) under Trichodina rectuncinata. Its description in RNAcentral is "SSU rRNA". It matches the Rfam family "Eukaryotic small subunit ribosomal RNA", at positions 1206 to 1635 of the family's 1831-position model. The record is from RNAcentral. Lineage: Eukaryota; Ciliophora; Oligohymenophorea; Mobilida; Trichodinidae.
CGGGGAAACUUACCAGGUCAAAACGUGGGUGUGAUGGACAGAUUGAGAGCUCUUUCUUGAUUCUACGGGUGGUGGUGCAUGGCCGUUCUUAGUUGGUGGAGUGAUUUGUCUGGUUAAUUCCUUUAACGAACGAGACCUUAACCUGCUAACUAGCACCCCGUCUCAACGGAAGGUGCUUCUUAGAGGGACUGUGCGAGCCUAUCGCACGGAAGUUUGAGGCAAUAACAGGUCUGUGAUGCCCUUAGAUGUCCUGGGCCGCACGCGCGCUACAAUGGCACACACAGCGAGUUUCCUGAUCCGAAGGGAGCCGGGUAACCUGUCAGGGUGUGCCGUGAUUGGGAUCGACCCUUGCAAUUAUGGGUCGUGAACGAGGAAUUCCUAGUAAGCGCAAGUCAUCAGC